GACGAACGCUGGCGGCGUGCUUAACACAUGCAAGUCGAACGGAAAGGCCCUGCUUUUGUGGGGUGCUCGAGUGGCGAACGGGUGAGUAACACGUGAGUAACCUGCCCUUGACUUUGGGAUAACUUCAGGAAACUGGGGCUAAUACCGGAUAGGAGCUCCUGCUGCAUGGUGGGGGUUGGAAAGUUUCGGCGGUUGGGGAUGGACUCGCGGCUUAUCAGCUUGUUGGUGGGGUAGUGGCUUACCAAGGCUUUGACGGGUAGCCGGCCUGAGAGGGUGACCGGCCACAUUGGGACUGAGAUACGGCCCCGACUCCUACGGGGGGCAGCAGUGGGGAAUAUUGCACAAUGGGCGGAAGCCUGAUGCAGCAACGCCGCGUGCGGGAUGACGGCCUUCGGGUUGUAAACCGCUUUCGCCUGUGACGAAGCGUGAGUGACGGUAAUGGGUAAAGAAGCACCGGCUAACUACGUG
This 468-nucleotide ribosomal RNA is filed under the name uncultured bacterium. RNAcentral describes it as "partial 16S ribosomal RNA". It matches the Rfam family "Bacterial small subunit ribosomal RNA", at positions 28 to 507 of the family's 1533-position model. The record is from RNAcentral.